GUUCACUGCCGUACAGGUAGCUUAGAAA
This is a non-coding RNA of Methylomicrobium album BG8, 28 nucleotides long. The record is from Rfam. NCBI's taxonomy places the organism in Bacteria, Pseudomonadati, Pseudomonadota, Gammaproteobacteria, Methylococcales, Methylococcaceae.